AUGGCUGCCAAACCCAUGUGCUCCAAAUGCCAUUGCACACCCAAAGGAUCAACAAAUGCAUUUAUAUGAACUGGGAUUAUUAUUUUUCAUCAUUACGGACAUGCACUAUGAACAUGUGUGAGCUGGAUGGGUGUGGAUCUCUAAUACGGAGGCUGGAGAUUUAUUUGGAUUUACUCAAAGCUUGUUUGAAUUGUUGUCAUUGAGGAAACUGGAGCCUGAUAUUUAUGCUGGGUUUGAUAAGGACUCAUGGCCCAUGACCGAUCCCUCUCUGCCAGGUUAUCUGAGUGUUAUAGAGGCCAGCGAUGACUCCUCCGAGUGCACCUCACAAAUCCUUCACACCCUUUAAAUCGUGACAGAUUCUGAGCAAUGGUUGCCACGCUUCACCUCGGGCAUUUUAAUCAAGCUCAGCGCAGUUAUCCAUUCACUCCUUUGAUUUUGCAGACACUUUUUUUCAAAGCUGGUGUCUUGGAUCUCUUGUUUCUCUCAAAAGAUUUUAAAUCUGGUAAUUUUUAUAUAUUUUUUAUGAUUAAAUUGGAAUGUAAUGU
This is a non-coding RNA of Danio rerio (zebrafish), 545 nucleotides long. Lineage: Eukaryota; Metazoa; Chordata; Actinopteri; Cypriniformes; Danionidae. The record is from Ensembl.